Molecule: ribosomal RNA, 213 nt
Filed under: Aeromonas sp.
Lineage: Bacteria; Pseudomonadati; Pseudomonadota; Gammaproteobacteria; Aeromonadales; Aeromonadaceae
Description: partial 16S ribosomal RNA
Rfam family: Bacterial small subunit ribosomal RNA
Source: RNAcentral
UUUUACUCCUACGGGAGGCAGCAGUGGGGAAUAUUGCACAAUGGGGGAAACCCUGAUGCAGCCAUGCCGCGUGUGUGAAGAAGGCCUUCGGGUUGUAAAGCACUUUCAGCGAGGAGGAAAAGGCUGGUAAGCUUAAUAACUUGGCCAGUCUGUGACGUUACCCGCAGAAGAAGCACCGGCUAACUCCGUGCCAGCAGCCGCGGUAAUAAAACA